UCUCUUAAACCUAUCUUUGGAAAUCUAACUUAAUUAUAAAGUCUAAAACUAUUUUUAACUGUCUUGUCUGACGCACCAUCUAAAAUGGAUUGCAAGGUACACUCUACUAAGUACCUCUUUGCAUUGCUUAGGACUUAAGAUAGGAAGUUGUUGGGUGCAGCAGUUGCUAAACAACUGCGCAUACUUGUAAUUAGCUGUAGUCUACCCUACAGAUAAUAUUCCGACCUCUUCAUUAAAUAAUGGUUAUCUUAUGACUUUCUCUAAAUCUUAACUUAAUAAAUCUUGUGAGUAUUAUGAGAUCUACUAAAAAUCAUAUACUCUGUACGUCAGGUUGCAAGUAAACAGACCUAAAAUGUUUAUUUUGUUAGUCAGACUCAAGAUUAGCUAGUACAGUUAAGAUAGCGGAUUUUCCUUAGGUAAAAUCCUACCGUAAAAAGGGGGAUAUGUAACGGUUAGCGUUACCGCUGACCUUUAUCUUAGAACUAAAUUCUAAUUUAAUUACUAUUAUCUACCUAAAUAAAUAUACUUAAAUAAUAAAAUAUCUAAAUCUACGUAAACUACCUAACUAAAUAACUUAAUUAAAUAAUUCAUAUUGUUCUACACUAAUAAAAUAAAUAAAAUAAUAAAUCUAAAAGCAAACCCGCGCGAAACAAGUUGUUCAAUAUUUCUUUUGUUCUCUGUCGAGCGGGCGGACUGUUUUUUAUGCAUGCGCAAGCGACGCGCCUACGGCCGCGAUGCUCCCGCCGCGUCUCCUAGUCCGAGCCAGAGCGUUAUUGAGCACGGACGUAUCGCUGUCCGUCACCGCCGGACCCGCGAUGUACGUAACUUUAUAAAACUCCAAAAUGUAAUCGCGUAUUCGUGAACCCCGCUACCGGGGUUCACGUUCACCUACAUCUUCUACGCCUACCUACUACACCAUGCAUGGUCACCACUGCCGAUCCUACCACCUGGCUCUUCAACCCGGCAGAGCUGCCUGCCGUGUCGGACGGCCCGUGCGCACACUCUAAGUGGCCCUACACCACAGUGCGUACGGCCCUAGCCGUCUGGCGCGUCGACGACUCUGCGGGCCUACCAACUCGAAGAACCAACCCACAUCACCAUCAAUGCUAGCGAGGACAGUGGUUUGAAUAUACUACCACCGGUGACGAAUCUCGUGCGAUACGAUAGUUUGCUCGUAACCCACACCCUUAAGGUCUCUUUCUCUUAAAUUGAAAUAAAAGACUUGUUAACCUAAA
Molecule: long non-coding RNA, 1235 nt
Organism: Ostrinia nubilalis (European corn borer)
Lineage: Eukaryota; Metazoa; Arthropoda; Insecta; Lepidoptera; Crambidae
Exons: 2
Source: RefSeq, a predicted model, not a curated record